AUCACGCCUCGAAUAGUUAAGGCAACUCCCUAGUAUCCCCUAAUACUCUCCGUGCGCACUGCCGUGAGAGUUUCGGGAUGUCCGCAUCGUCGGAGCGUCCAGGCGGGACCGUGCACAUUGCGCGCGGCGGCUCCGCCCCUGCGACUCCGGGAUCCUCGGCCGCCCCGCCCCCGCCUCUCCUCGGGCCCGCGAUUUACUGAGGAAACGGGAUCUCUGCCCUGUGGGACGUCCGAGCCCUCGCAUUCGGCUCAGGCCUUACUGAUGAUGUCGUUUGACCUGUUUCUCUGUCCUCCAUGGUUCUCGGAAAUUCAUAGUCCGCUUUAAAGUCCUGAGGAGAGCCGCGCUCGCUUUUUCGAGCCUGCGCGCUUCGUCGGGAGGGCAGCCCGGUGGAGGCGCCUGGCGAAGCGGGGGCUUCAGCGGAGGUCGUCAGCCCGACCCCCGUUAGAAGGGUUCCCACCAAACCUCCUAAUGCUUUUCGAAUACACUGCGGGUCUCGUUUGUUUGUUUUUAACCCUUGGCUCACGAGCUGUAAGGAUGUAAACCCAAGGCCCUUGGUGUCCAAGUUCCGUGCGCCGAGGAACAAAACUGAGAAUAAGGGCAGGAAAAGACACAGAGAAUGUCAGUGUUCUUUGAGUCUCUGGAUCGUUCUAUCCUCUCCAUGCUUUGGCUCCGAGAGCUAACCAAUUACCUUUCCCACGUAGGCAAAACUGAAGCUGUGUUUCCGGCGCUGCGCCGCUGAGAGGCUCUCCUGGAGCCGCCGCGGGUGGGCCUGGUUGCUGGGUCUCGGGCCCCGCCUCCCGCACUCGCCGCCCCGCUGUGGCCGCGCUUUCUUCGGCAGAGGCCGUCGCGUCUGAAAAAUGGCUCCGCCCACCCUCGUCUCUGUUGGAAUGCCGACUGAUGUGUCUCUUCUGGAUGGUUUCUGAAUGUCGUUUUCUGUCAGGCAGGUGUGCUGCCUCAUCCAUUAGGACAACGUGCCAGAGAAAGGGAACAUUAAAUGAUGUGACAAUUGAAACAGGCAAAGACCACAAGUUAUUUCCUCUUCAGGAAUUUUGCUUUAAUUAAAAAGAAGAAGAAGCUCAACCGAAGUCCCUACAUCUUCUUGAGCUAGGAACAGAUGAGUUGCAUAGAACCACAGCAUCAAUGACCAGCUUUACCUGGUGUGAAAUUGGUGAACUGCAGCUGGGGAACAGAGGUUAUCCACGUGGGCUGUAGGUUGUAAUCACCACGAAGCUUUUUAGAAUACCAGUGCCAGAGCCCUCCCCUGAAGGUUCUCUUUGCUGUGUCUUUACUGUGAGCUCUCAGCCUUCACAGAUCUGCUUCAGGCUUGUCAACCCUCUUGUUUCUUCCCUCUCAUCUCCUUUCUUUUCCAUCUGACACACUGCGCAUCAGGUGAAGCCUGUCUGAGUUCCCCACCAGGCCCCUUCCUUUGCUACUCCCUUCCUUUUAUGGCCAUACCCCUUUCCCUCAUGUAGCACCCAUUUACUCCCCAGGACUCCUCCUAAAUGGCCCACCUAAAGAACUCCAAGGAUUUUUCACAGUUCACCAGUCCUGGGUUUUAUUUCUUCAGGGCUCUGCUAGCUAACCCCACAAACUAAAAUGAAUCAUAAGCCCUGUUUCCCAAACUUGCCUGGUGAUGGAUUCCUAGACCCAAUUUCUUACAGUUUCCACAGGAUUGAUCUGUGCCAAGGGGUUCAAAGGAUGAUCCUGUAUAUCUCCCAGAUGACUUGUGUUUUACAGACU
Long non-coding RNA from Equus asinus (donkey), 1740 nucleotides. The record is from Ensembl. NCBI's taxonomy places the organism in Eukaryota, Metazoa, Chordata, Mammalia, Perissodactyla, Equidae.